GCGAAGCCAACCCGGACAUCUUCUUCACCGAUAGGGCCGGCAAGCGCCACAAGAACUGCCUCUCGCUGGCGGUCGAUGAGCUUCCCGUGCUGGAGGGUAAGACCCCGGUGGAGGUCUACGCGGGCGUCCUUCAGAGCUUCAGAGCCACCUUCUCAGAUUUCCUCGGUUCCACCAUCAAGGUAACUUGAACUUCAGCACUUUUUUCUCCCUCUCCGUUUCCUCGCCCAUCUGGUGAAAACGCCAUCUAAGAUUUGAGGAUUUUCCAUCCACCUGCAGGACGUUCUUGUUGGCCUCGGUCCAGAUGGUGAGCUGAAGUACCCGUCGCAGCAGCCGGCGCCGAGGAACAAGCAAGUCGCCGGAGUGGGGGAGUUCCAGUGCUACGACAGAAACAUGCUGAAUCGUCUCAAGGAGCACGCAGAGGCCACCGGGAACCAUUUCUGGGGUCUCUCCGGCCCCCACGACGCCCCCCAGUACAACGCGUCUCCCGAGUCCACCAAUUUCUUCAAGGAGCACGGAGGCUCGUGGGACACCCCCUACGGGAACUUCUUCCUCUCCUGGUAUUCCAGCCAGCUCGUCGCCCACGGCGACCGCCUCCUCUCCGCCGCCUCCACAGCCUUCGGGGAUCUCCCCGUGACCGUCUACGGCAAGGUCCCGGUGAUGCACGCCUGGUACAAGCACCGGUCCCACCCCUCCGAGCUCACCGCCGGCUACCACAACACGGCCAACUCCGACGGCUACGAGGCCAUCGCGGAGAUGUUCGCGAGGCACUCAUGCGGCAUGAUCCUCCCCGCCAUGGACCUCUCCGACGAGCACCAGCCGCCGGCCUCGCGGUCCAGCCCGGAGGCGCUUGUGGCGCAGAUCAUGAGG
This 867-nucleotide long non-coding RNA is filed under the name Spirodela polyrhiza (greater duckweed). RNAcentral's name for it is "long non-coding RNA (SPOL_LNC001832)". Lineage: Eukaryota; Viridiplantae; Streptophyta; Magnoliopsida; Alismatales; Araceae. The record is from RNAcentral.